ACGAAGGUGGUCUAAUACCUUAUAGUAUCCAUCUCGUAUGGAUUAAAGCUUUAAUGCGCUUUGGGAGGGGCCUGCGUUUGAUUAGCUAGUUGGUGAGGUAAAAGCUCACCAAGGCGACGAUCAAUAGCUGGUUUGAGAGGAUGACCAGCCACACUGGGACUGAGAUACGGCCCAGACUCCUACGGGAGGCAGCAGUAAGGAAUCUUCCACAAUGGGGCAACCCUGAUGGAGCAAUACCGCGUGCAGGAUGAAGCGUUUCGGCGUGUAAACUGCUUUUAUCACCGAAGAUUUGACUGUAGGUGAAGAAUAAGGACCGGCUAACUACGUG
Molecule: ribosomal RNA, 328 nt
Filed under: uncultured bacterium
Lineage: Bacteria
Description: bacterial SSU rRNA
Rfam family: Bacterial small subunit ribosomal RNA
Source: RNAcentral